Molecule: long non-coding RNA, 266 nt
Filed under: Musa acuminata (dwarf banana)
Lineage: Eukaryota; Viridiplantae; Streptophyta; Magnoliopsida; Zingiberales; Musaceae
Description: long non-coding RNA (MACU_LNC003247)
Source: RNAcentral
UCUGAUCACAAUAGGUCCUUGGUGCCUACUAUAUUGUCCUUCUCCGACUCAUUAACAUGUGAAUAGGAUUCUUCCAUAGAAAAGAACAAAUGGAGCAAAAGUUGUGUAGUAAACCUUUGGCUGGACUGCUGGGUUUUGUGGAAAACACCAAUCUAUUCGAGGCAUGUAAUAAACCUUUGGCUGGACUGCUGGAUUUUGUGGAAAACACCUAAUAAACCUUUGGCUGGACUGCUGGAUUUUGUGGAAAACACCAAUCUAUUCGAGGC